GAUGAACGCUAGCGGCAGGCUUAAUACAUGCAAGUCGAGGGGGCAGCAAUGUCACCGGCGGACGGGUGCGUAACGCGUAUGAAACCUACCUUUAUCAGGGGGAUAGCCCGGGGAAACCCGGAUUAAUACCGCAUAAUAUAUUGAAUGGCAUCAUCUGAUAUUGAAAGAUUUAUUGGAUAGAGAUGGUCAUGCGUAGGAUU
Molecule: ribosomal RNA, 200 nt
Filed under: uncultured bacterium
Lineage: Bacteria
Description: partial 16S ribosomal RNA
Rfam family: Bacterial small subunit ribosomal RNA
Source: RNAcentral